This 329-nucleotide unclassified non-coding RNA is filed under the name soil metagenome. RNAcentral describes it as "partial contains 5.8S ribosomal RNA, internal transcribed spacer 2, and large subunit ribosomal RNA". The stretch from base 1 to 120 matches the Rfam family "5.8S ribosomal RNA", at positions 35 to 154 of the family's 154-position model. The record is from RNAcentral.
GAUGAAGAACGUAGCGAAAUGCGAUAAGUAAUGUGAAUUGCAGAAUUCAGUGAAUCAUCGAAUCUUUGAACGCACAUUGCGCCCCUUGGUAUUCCGAGGGGCAUGCCUGAUCGAGCGUCAUUAUAACCCCUCAAGCUCAGCUUGGUGUUGGGGCCUGCUGCACUGGCAGCCCUUAAAAUCAGUGGCGGCGCCAUCUGGCUCUAAGCGUAGUAAUUCUUCUCGCUAUGGAGUCCUGGUGGAUGCUUGCCAUCAACCCCCAAUUUUUCUAUGGUUGACCUCGGAUCAGGUAGGGAUACCCGCUGAACUUAAGCAUAUCAAUAAGCGGAGGA